Molecule: ribosomal RNA, 569 nt
Filed under: uncultured Pseudomonadota bacterium
Lineage: Bacteria; Pseudomonadati; Pseudomonadota
Description: bacterial SSU rRNA
Rfam family: Bacterial small subunit ribosomal RNA
Source: RNAcentral
GGCAGACGGGUGAGUAAUGCAUAGGUAAUCUACCCUUGAGUGGGGGAUAACUCCGGGAAACCGGUGCUAAUCCCGCAUAAUGUCCGGAUGCGCAGGUAUUCGGAUCAAAGGGGGGGAUCCUUCGGGACCUCAUGCUUGAGGAUGAGCCUAUGUCCUAUUAGCUAGUUGGUGAGGUAACGGCCCACCAAGGCAAUGAUGGGUAGCCGAGCUGAGAGGCUGAUCGGCCACACUGGAACUGAAACACGGUCCAGACUCCUACGGGAGGCAGCAGUGGGGAAUUUUGCGCAAUGGGCGAAAGCCUGACGCAGCGACGCCGCGUGAGGGAUGAAGGUCCUAGGAUCGUAAACCUCUGUCAGGAAGCAUUAAAUGUGCGGAUAUCAACACCAUCCGCGCUUGACUUAACUUCCAAAGGAAGCCCCGGCUAACUACGUGCCAGCAGCCGCGGUAAUACGUAGGGGGCAAGCGUUACUCGGAUUUAUUGGGCGUAAAGAGAAUUAAGGCGGUCAUGUAAGUCAGUGGUGAAAUCCCUCGGCUCAACUGGGGAAUUGCCUUUGAUACUGCUUGACUUG